Molecule: transfer RNA, 71 nt
Filed under: Stegodyphus mimosarum
Lineage: Eukaryota; Metazoa; Arthropoda; Arachnida; Araneae; Eresidae
Rfam family: tRNA
About the family: Transfer RNA (tRNA) molecules are approximately 80 nucleotides in length. Their secondary structure includes four short double-helical elements and three loops (D, anti-codon, and T loops).
Source: Rfam by way of RNAcentral
GCCUUUGUAGUGUAACGGUAGCACACUCGGUGCGUAUUCGAGAGAUCCAGGUUCGAGUCCCGGCGAGGUCA